RNAcentral lists this ribosomal RNA (584 nucleotides) under uncultured bacterium. Its description in RNAcentral is "partial 16S ribosomal RNA". It matches the Rfam family "Bacterial small subunit ribosomal RNA", at positions 355 to 1375 of the family's 1533-position model. The record is from RNAcentral.
UGGGGAAUUUUGGACAAUGGGCGAAAGCCUGAUCCAGCAAUGCCGCGUGUGUGAAGAAGGCCUUCGGGUUGUAAAGCACUUUUGUCCGGAAAGAAAUCCUUGGCUCUAAUACAGUCGGGGGAUGACGGUACCGGAAGAAUAAGCACCGGCUAACUACGUGCCAGCAGCCGCGGUAAUACGUAGGGUGCAAGCGUUAAUCGGAAUUACUGGGCGUAAAGCGUGCGCAGGCGGUUUGCUAAGACCGAUGUGAAAUCCCCGGGCUCAACCUGGGAACUGCAUUGGUGACUGGCAGGCUAGAGUAUGGCAGAGGGGGGUAGAAUUCCACGUNUAGCAGUGAAAUGCGUAGAGAUGUGGAGGAAUACCGAUGGCGAAGGCAGCCCCCUGGGCAAUACUGACGCUCAUGCACGAAAGCGUGGGGAGCAAACAGGAUUAGAUACCCUGGUAGUCCACGCCCUAAACGAUGUCAACUAGUUGUUGGGGAUUCAUUUCCUUAGUAACGUAGCUAACGCGUGAAGUUGACCGCCUGGGGAGUACGGUCGCAAGAUUAAAACUCAAAGGAAUUGACGGGGUCAUAGCUGUUUCCU